AAGAAGAAUAAAGUCUGGGACAAAAAUGAAUAUUUAUUACUAAUUGGCAUUAACAAUCUGCUUUGUGUGUGACCAGAGACUGGAACUGUUAGCUCUGCAAAAGCCUAAUUCUACAAAGAUCAUCUCAUUUCCGUAGAAAAAAAUGGAGUCACUGCUGUAGCAUCAGGCAUCUUUGCUGCAUUUUCAACCCAUUUGCUGAA
This 200-nucleotide long non-coding RNA is filed under the name Mus spicilegus (steppe mouse). Its description in RNAcentral is "lncRNA (ENSMSIG00000020628.1)". Lineage: Eukaryota; Metazoa; Chordata; Mammalia; Rodentia; Muridae. The record is from RNAcentral.